UCAGGCCUAACACAUGCAAGUCGAGCGAGGUAGCAAUACCUAGCGGCGGACGGGUGAGUAACGCGUGGGAACGUGCCCCUUGGUACGGAAUAGCCCCGGGAAACUGGGAGUAAUACCGUAUGAGCUCUACGGAGGAAAGAUUUAUCGCCAAGGGAUCGGCCCGCGUUGGAUUAGGUAGUUGGUGGGGUAAUGGCCUACCAAGCCGACGAUCCAUAGCUGGUUUGAGAGGAUGAUCAGCCACACUGGGACUGAGACACGGCCCAGACUCCUACGGGAGGCAGCAGUGGGGAAUCUUAAAAGAUGGGCGCAAGCCUGAUCUAGCCAUGCCGCGUGUUUAUGGAGGCCUUAGGGUUGUAAAGCUCUUUCAG
Molecule: ribosomal RNA, 368 nt
Filed under: uncultured bacterium
Lineage: Bacteria
Description: bacterial SSU rRNA
Rfam family: Bacterial small subunit ribosomal RNA
Source: RNAcentral